Molecule: ribosomal RNA, 419 nt
Filed under: bacterium
Lineage: Bacteria
Description: partial 16S ribosomal RNA
Rfam family: Bacterial small subunit ribosomal RNA
Source: RNAcentral
UGGGGGAUAUUGCACAAUGGGCGAAAGCCUGAUGCAGCGACGCCGCGUGGGGGAUGAAGGCCUUCGGGUUGUAAACUUCUUUUGCUCUGAACAAGGCAUGCUAAUGGGUGUGUUGAGUGUAGGGGUUGAUUAGCGCCGGCUAACUACGUGCCAGCAGCCGCGGUAAUACGUAGGGCGCGAGCGUUGUCCGGAAUUAUUGGGCGUAAAGGGCUUGUAGGUGGCUGGUUGCGUCUGUCGUGAAAGCUCAUGGCUUAACUGUGGGUUUGCGGUGGGUACGGGCUGGCUUGAGUGCAGUAGGGGAGGCUGGAAUUCCUGGUGUAGCGGUGGAAUGCGCUGAUAUCAGGAGGAAUACCGGUGGCGAAGGCGGGUCUCUGGGCUGUUACUGACACUGAGGAGCGAAAGCAUGGGGAGCGAACAGG